AUUGAACGCUGGCGGCAGGCCUAACACAUGCAAGUCGAGCGCGAAAGGUCUUCGGACUGAUUAGAGCGGCGGACGGGUGAGUAAUGCUUGGGAAUCUACCUAGUAGUGGGGGACAACAGUUGGAAACGACUGCUAAUACCGCAUACGCCCUACGGGGGAAAGGGGGGGAUCUUCGGACCUCUUGCUAUUGGAUGAGCCCAAGUCGGAUCAGCUAGUUGGUGGGGUAAUGGCCCACCAAGGCGACGAUCCGUAGCUGGUUUGAGAGGAUGAUCAGCCACACUGGGACUGAGACACGGCCCAG
Molecule: ribosomal RNA, 301 nt
Filed under: uncultured bacterium
Lineage: Bacteria
Description: bacterial SSU rRNA
Rfam family: Bacterial small subunit ribosomal RNA
Source: RNAcentral